Molecule: ribosomal RNA, 253 nt
Filed under: uncultured bacterium
Lineage: Bacteria
Description: partial 16S ribosomal RNA
Rfam family: Bacterial small subunit ribosomal RNA
Source: RNAcentral
UACAGAGGGUGCGAGCGUUAAUCGGAAUUACUGGGCGUAAAGCGCGCGCAGGCGGUCUUCCAAGUCAGUGGUGAAAGCCCGGAGCUCAACUCCGGAACUGCCAUUGAAACUGUAAGACUUGAGGAUGAGAGAGGUGAGUGGAAUUCCCAGUGUAGAGGUGAAAUUCGUAGAUAUUCGGAGGAACACCAGUGGCGAAGGCGGCUCACUGGUCCAUUACUGACGCUGAGGUGCGAAAGCGUGGGGAGCAAACAGG